AGUGAACGCUGGCGGUAGGCCUAACACAUGCAAGUCGAACGGCAGCACAGUAAGAGCUUGCUCUUACGGGUGGCGAGUGGCGGACGGGUGAGGAAUACAUCGGAAUCUACUUUUUCGUGGGGGAUAACGUAGGGAAACUUACGCUAAUACCGCAUACGACCUACGGGUGAAAGCAGGGGAUCUUCGGACCUUGCGCGAUUGAAUGAGCCGAUGUCGGAUUAGCUAGUUGGCGGGGUAAAGGCCCACCAAGGCGACGAUCCGUAGCUGGUCUGAGAGGAUGAUCAGCCACACUGGAACUGAGACACGGUCCGGACUCCUGCGGGAGGCAGCAGUGGGGAAUAUUGGACAAUGGGCGCAAGCCUGAUCCAGCCAUACCGCGUGGGUGAAGAAGGCCUUCGGGUUGUAAAGCCCUUUUGUUGGGAAAGAAAAGCAGCAGGUUAAUACCCCGCUGUUCUGACGGUACCCAAAGAAUAAUCACCGGCUAACUUCGUG
Molecule: ribosomal RNA, 492 nt
Filed under: uncultured bacterium
Lineage: Bacteria
Description: partial 16S ribosomal RNA
Rfam family: Bacterial small subunit ribosomal RNA
Source: RNAcentral